CUGCGGUCAAUUAAGCCGACCGCGCCCUUUUCCCCAUGGGGGCCCCGUGUGCAAUGGCUGCAAACAGCAGCCUCCUCGGUAGUGUAUGCAGCCUGUUGCCUCUAUGGGUUGCCCUAAGGGACCUUGGAGACAGCC
This is a small nucleolar RNA of Balaenoptera musculus (blue whale), 135 nucleotides long. Its record names the gene SNORA70. It matches the Rfam family "Small nucleolar RNA SNORA70". Rfam says of the family: snoRNA U70 seems to be exclusive to mammals and is a member of the H/ACA class of snoRNA which contain H (ANANNA) and ACA box motifs. H/ACA box snoRNAs are involved in the conversion of uridines to pseudouridines (5-ribosyluracil) a constituent of structural RNAs (transfer, ribosomal, small nuclear, and small nucleolar). NCBI's taxonomy places the organism in Eukaryota, Metazoa, Chordata, Mammalia, Artiodactyla, Balaenopteridae. The record is from Ensembl.